RNAcentral lists this ribosomal RNA (610 nucleotides) under uncultured beta proteobacterium. RNAcentral's name for it is "bacterial SSU rRNA". It matches the Rfam family "Bacterial small subunit ribosomal RNA", at positions 898 to 1512 of the family's 1533-position model. Lineage: Bacteria; Pseudomonadati; Pseudomonadota; Betaproteobacteria. The record is from RNAcentral.
AACUCAAAGGAAUUGACGGGGACCCGCACAAGCGGUGGAUGAUGUGGUUUAAUUCGAUGCAACGCGAAAAACCUUACCCACCUUUGACAUGUACGGAAUCCUUUAGAGAUAGAGGAGUGCUCGAAAGAGAGCCGUAACACAGGUGCUGCAUGGCUGUCGUCAGCUCGUGUCGUGAGAUGUUGGGUUAAGUCCCGCAACGAGCGCAACCCUUGCCAUUAGUUGCUACGAAAGGGCACUCUAAUGGGACUNCCGGUGACAAACCGGAGGAAGGUGGGGAUGACGUCAAGUCCUCAUGGCCCUUAUAGGUGGGGCUACACACGUCAUACAAUGGCUGGUACAAAGGGUUGCCAACCCGCGAGGGGGAGCUAAUCCCAUAAAGCCAGUCGUAGUCCGGAUCGCAGUCUGCAACUCGACUGCGUGAAGUCGGAAUCGCUAGUAAUCGUGGAUCAGAAUGUCACGGUGAAUACGUUCCCGGGUCUUGUACACACCGCCCGUCACACCAUGGGAGCGGGUCUCGCCAGAAGUAGGUAGCCUAACCGUAAGGAGGGCGCUUACCACGGCGGGGUUCGUGACUGGGGUGAAGUCGUAACAAGGUAGCCGUAAAGGGCGA